RNAcentral lists this ribosomal RNA (253 nucleotides) under uncultured bacterium. RNAcentral's name for it is "partial 16S ribosomal RNA". It matches the Rfam family "Bacterial small subunit ribosomal RNA", at positions 524 to 776 of the family's 1533-position model. The record is from RNAcentral.
UACGUAGGGUGCGAGCGUUAAUCGGAAUUACUGGGCGUAAAGUGUGCGCAGGCGGCCGAGCAAGUCGAGUGUGAAAGCCCCGAGCUUAACUUGGGAAUUGCGCUCGAAACUACUUGGCUGGAGUGUGGCAGAGGAAGGUGGAAUUCCAGGUGUAGCGGUGAAAUGCGUAGAGAUCGGAAAGAACACCAACGGCGAAAGCACUCUGCUGGGCCGACACUGACACUGAGAGACGAAAGCUAGGGGAGCGAAUGGG